Molecule: long non-coding RNA, 2536 nt
Organism: Danio rerio (zebrafish)
Lineage: Eukaryota; Metazoa; Chordata; Actinopteri; Cypriniformes; Danionidae
Source: Ensembl
AUGCUACUUCAUACAUAAAGAAAAGCUAUAUCCAACCAUAUGGCUGUUUUUCAUAUUUCAUAUUUAGGAUUGAUCAUAGGCUCGGGUUCUGUGUUGUGUGUAUUUCUGCAUUAGGCACAUGAUUUCCUCUUAUUCCAUCCAGGUGUUUGUGUAAUUCCGCUUUAUGUAAAAUGAGCUUGUGGUUCUGCUUCUGCUCUAUACUUUUAUUCAUUUGAAUAUUCAUUUGAAUAUCAGCUGGAAGAGGCAAGAAAUUAAAAUAUUAUUUCCUCAUUUUUAGCAGAUGAUACUGUAAGUACAACAUCAGAACUGUCACGGGAUUUGUCUCGGUGUAAUGUCAGCUCAUAUCAGAAAAUCAAUGCCUGAUCUGCUUUGUUAAAUUCUACACAGUGGAGAGCCAGAUUACAUAAUGAUGUUCACUGCUUUUAAGGGUUUUGUUUGGUCUUUGUUGGCUGUCAUCACUUUAAACUUAAGUUUAGUAUCCAGCACUGCAGCUGAUUCAGGAACAGUAGUGAGUGCAGUGUUAGAUUGUAAGCUUUAUAAUGACCUGUACAUCUGCACUGGCGCUCAGCACCGCAUGCACUGCAACACUACAGAACAUCAUUUCUCCUACCACAGAAACCAACACCAGUACCAGUGCUUGAGUAAUGACUGUGUCUGUGUUGGUAAUAACGACACCUGUGUGUGUUAUUCUAAUACAUCAUCCUGCUUCUGUGAGACGUUCGACAAUACCACUCUCACUACAGCAGUCAGUCCAGUCUCUGAGUGUGUGCACUAUAAUGACCUGUACGUCUGCACUGGUGCUCACUAUCACAUGUACUGCAACACAAGUGUACAUGAUUUCCAUUAUGAUAGAUCCCAUUACCACUGUUUGAAUAACUACUGUGACUGUUUUGGUAAUACAGACACCUGUACAUGCUAUAACAGCACUCGGUCCUCCUGCUUUUGUGAAAUGAAUAAUGUUAGUAUCUCCGUCCCUGCAGCACUCAGUCCUGUUUAUGAGUGUGUGCUUUAUAAUGACACAUACAUCUGCAAUGGUGCUCAGUACCGCAUGUUCUGCAAUACAAGACUGCAUAAUUUCUAUUACCAGAAAGGUCAAUCACAGUGCAUGGGUCAUGAUUGUUACUGUUUUGCUGAUAAGCACACCUGUACAUGCUAUGAGAGCAGUUUGUCCUCCUGCUUCUGUGCAAAUCGCAACACCACAAUCCCUACAAAAGUCAAUGCACUGUCUGGCACUCAAUGCAGGCUUUAUAAUGAUAAACUCUUCUGCACCGGUGCUCAGUACCGCAUGCACUGCAACACAACAACACAUGAUAUCACCUAUCAGAGAUAUCAGAACCAGGACCAAUACCAGUGCAAUAGUAAUGACUGUAACUGCAUUGUUAAUAAGAACACCUGUACAUGCUACAGCAGCACUUGGUCCUCCUGUUUCUGUGAGACGUAUGGAAAAAGCAUCGCUCUCACUACUGAAAUCAGUCCAGUCUAUAACUGUAUGCUUUAUAAAGACACCUACAUGUGCACUGGUGCUCACUAUCACAUGUACUGCAACACAAGUGUCCAUGAUUUCCAUUAUAGUAGAUACCAUCACCACUGUUUGAAUAACAACUGUAACUGUUUUGGCGAUAUGAACACCUGUACAUGCUAUAGUGGCACUCAGUCCUGCUUUUGUGAGAUGAAUAAUGUUAACAUCUCUAUCCUGGCAGGAGUCAGUCCAGUGUAUGACUGUGUGCUUUAUAAUGACACCUACGUCUGCAGUGGUGCUCAGUACCGCAUGUUCUGCAACACAAGCAUACAUGGUUUCUUUUACCAGAGAUAUCAUCAAGACCAAUUGCAGUACUGCAGCGGUAACAACUGUUUCUGUACUAGUAAUAAGGACACCUGUACAUGCUUUAGUAGCACUUGGUCCUCAUGCUUCUGUGAGACAUAUGGAAAUAUUGCUGCUCUCACUACUGCAGUCUGCCCAGUCUAUGACUGUGUGCUUUAUAAAGACCUUUACAUCUGCACUGGUGCUCACUAUCACAUGUACUGCAACACAAGUGUCCAUAACUUCCAUUAUUUUAGAGACCAUUACCACUGUUUGAAUAACAACUGUAACUGUAUUGGUAAUAAGGACAACUGUACAUGCUCCUCUAGCGUGUCAUCCUCCUGCUACUGUACAGAUCACAGCAAAAACAUCUCCAUCCCUGCUGGAGUCAGUCCAGUCUCUGACUGUAAGCUUUAUAACGACACAUACGUCUGCACUGGCGCUCAGUACCGCAUGUUCUGCAACACAAGCGCAUAUGAUUUCAAGAAGUAUAUCAAUCAAAACCUAAACGAACACACGUGUACAGGUGAUAACUGUUAUUGCACUGGUAAUGGUGACACCUGUACAUGCUAUAGAAGCACUCUGUCCUCCUGCUUCUGUGAGACGUACAACAGUGGCACUGCUUUAAAUAGUGCGCUCAGCCCAGUCUCUGACUGUAUGCUUUAUAACAACUCUCUGACCUGCACUACCACAGGUGAGCAUGUUUCUGCACUCACGCUUUGUGUUAGCAUUUAA